UCUCUGGUGGCUCAAAUGGUAAAGCAUCUGCCUGCAAUUCAGAAAACCUGGGUUCGAUCCCUGGGUUGGGAA
Molecule: transfer RNA, 72 nt
Organism: Ovis aries (sheep)
Lineage: Eukaryota; Metazoa; Chordata; Mammalia; Artiodactyla; Bovidae
Rfam family: tRNA
About the family: Transfer RNA (tRNA) molecules are approximately 80 nucleotides in length. Their secondary structure includes four short double-helical elements and three loops (D, anti-codon, and T loops). Further hydrogen bonds mediate the characteristic L-shaped molecular structure. tRNAs have two regions of fundamental functional importance: the anti-codon, which is responsible for specific mRNA codon recognition, and the 3' end, to which the tRNAs corresponding amino acid is attached (by aminoacyl-tRNA synthetases). tRNAs cope with the degeneracy of the genetic code in two manners: having more than one tRNA (with a specific anti-codon) for a particular amino acid; and 'wobble' base-pairing, i.e. permitting non-standard base-pairing at the 3rd anti-codon position.
Source: Rfam